This 175-nucleotide unclassified non-coding RNA is filed under the name soil metagenome. RNAcentral describes it as "partial internal transcribed spacer 1". The record is from RNAcentral.
CAGAGUUGCAAAACUCCCACAAACCAUCGCGAAUCGUUACCCAGUACGUUGCCUCGUCGCUGCGGUCCGGAGGCCUCGGCCCCGAUCCUCGGGUCCCUCGCGGGACGCUCCCCGAGUGCCGACUACUCUUGCAGUAUCUUAGGUCCUCUCUGAGUAUGACUUUUUAAAUAAGUCA